CGUGCUUAACACAUGCAAGUCGAACGGUGAAGGGACCAGCUUGCUGGUUCUGGAUGAGUGGCGAACGGGUGAGUAACACGUGAGUAACCUGCCCCCUUCUUCUGGAUAACCGCAUGAAAGUGUGGCUAAUACGGGAUAUUCUGGGUCUGUCGCAUGACGGGCCCGGGAAAGAUAUUGUUUCGGUGGGGGAUGGGCUCGCGGCCUAUCAGCUUGUUGGUGGGGUGAUGGCCUACCAAGGCGGWGACGGGUAGCCGGCCUGAGAGGGUGGACGGUCACACUGGGACUGAGACACGGCCCAGACUCCUACGGGAGGCAGCAGUGGGGAAUAUUGCACAAUGGGCGCAAGCCUGAUGCAGCGACGCCGCGUGAGGGAUGGAGGCCUUCGGGUUGUAAACCUCUUUCGCCAGUGAAGCAGGCYUGCUCCUUGUGGGUGGGUUGACGGUAGCUGGAUAAGAAGCGCCGGCUAACUACGUGCCAGCAGCCGCGGUAAUACGUAGGGCGCGAGCGUUGUCCGGAAUUAUUGGGCGUAAAGAGCUCGUAGGCGGCUGGUCGCGUCUGUCGUGAAAUCCUCUGGCUUAACUGGGGGCUUGCGGUGGKUACGGGCCGGCUUGAGUGCGGUAGGGGAGACUGGAACUCCUGGUGUAGCGGUGGAAUGCGCAGAUAUCAGGAAGAACACCGGUGGCGAAGGCGGGUCUCUGGGCCGUUACUGACGCUGAGGAGCGAAAGCGUGGGGAGCGAACAGGAUUAGAUACCCU
This 755-nucleotide ribosomal RNA is filed under the name Actinomyces sp. V17 2011443. RNAcentral's name for it is "bacterial SSU rRNA". It matches the Rfam family "Bacterial small subunit ribosomal RNA", at positions 43 to 788 of the family's 1533-position model. The record is from RNAcentral. Lineage: Bacteria; Bacillati; Actinomycetota; Actinomycetes; Actinomycetales; Actinomycetaceae.